ACUCAAAUAGUUUAAUUAAAAAUUUUAACUUGUGGCGUUAGGGAUACAUUUUUGUGUUUUGGGUA
This 65-nucleotide transfer RNA is filed under the name Tenebrionoidea sp. 2 KM-2017. RNAcentral's name for it is "tRNA-His". Lineage: Eukaryota; Metazoa; Arthropoda; Insecta; Coleoptera. The record is from RNAcentral.